This 24-nucleotide non-coding RNA is filed under the name Cricetulus griseus (Chinese hamster). Lineage: Eukaryota; Metazoa; Chordata; Mammalia; Rodentia; Cricetidae. The record is from RNAcentral.
GUGAGUCUUUCUGGCCUGUGCCUG